AACCUGAAGAAUACAUUUUUGGCGAUUUCUGCUCAAUGAAUAUUAAAUAGCCGCAGUACUUUGACUGUGCAAAGGUAGCAUAAUAAUUUGGCUUUUAAUUGGGGUCUAGAAUGAAUGAAAAAAUGGGGAGAUACCGUAUCAAUUAAGUAUUUCAAAUUUGCUAAGGAGGUGAAAAUUCCUUCGGUUAUAUAAUAGACGAGAAGACCCUUGAAAUUUAUUAUUAAAAUUUUGUUGGGGCGACAAAGUAGCAAUAAAACCUACUUUAAUAAAUAUGUCUUAUUAUUUAAGAAAAAAACAAAUUACUCAAGGGAUAACAGCAUAAUUAUUUACGUAGUUUGUGACCUCGAUGUUGGAUUAGGAAUAUCUAACCCAGAAGGUUAAGAUUUUUGCUCUGUUCGAGCGAUUUUUCCUACGUGAUCUGAGUUCCAGACCCGG
RNAcentral lists this ribosomal RNA (435 nucleotides) under Satsuma sp. SPW-2007. Its description in RNAcentral is "partial 16S ribosomal RNA". It matches the Rfam family "Archaeal large subunit ribosomal RNA", at positions 1920 to 2690 of the family's 2987-position model. The record is from RNAcentral. Lineage: Eukaryota; Metazoa; Mollusca; Gastropoda; Stylommatophora; Camaenidae.